UUGCUUUGGCAGCAUAUAUUGUAAAAUUGGAAUGAUACAGAGAAAAUUAGCAUAGCUCUUUGGAAGAAUCACAUGCAAAUUUAUGAAGUGGUCCAUAUUUAA
Small nuclear RNA from Rattus norvegicus (Norway rat), 102 nucleotides. NCBI's taxonomy places the organism in Eukaryota, Metazoa, Chordata, Mammalia, Rodentia, Muridae. The record is from Ensembl.